GAUGUAAUAAGAAGAAAGAAUAUGUUUAUAACAAUGAGAUAAUAUGAGCCACACCAGUCUUGAAAUUAAAUCUCUGAGAUUUCUCAGUCCACUUAGUGCCCUUCUGCCAAGAGUCAUAGACAUCAUGCACAUAAUAUAUAUCAGAAGAGUGUAGCAGCAACAAAUAGCCAAAGCCCAUCUUAAUGCCUGGAUUUGGCAUAAGCUUACAUCUAUCUUUCAGUUUCAUGAGAACUCAGUGCCACAGACAGCUAUCAGGUCCCAGUGUUUUGUCCUCAGAACAAGUGAAAGCUAUGCCUUCUACUUCUGGUUUCUAAUAGUUUCUAUCCUUUGGGGUGAAGGCUGGUGCCAGAAUGAGAGGAAACGUCAUGCCCUGUGAGAGCCAAGAGCAGCUGGUGCUGUUGCCCUGGCAUUUAUGGGAUAUUACAGGCGUAAAGGCACAUUUGGAACUGGUUGGGGAAAGAACUUAAUGUUUCUUUCUUUUAUCUUUAUAAUCCACUUUCCUAGUGAGGCUUAUCCUGCCAUUCAUACUAAAUUUAGCAAAUGCAAUUUUACAAGUAAAAAAAAUAAUAAUAAAAGCUGUGUUGCCACAAGGUGCUCUGAGAGUGCGGUGUGUGCUGGAGAGAUAAACUGCCUCUCAUCAAGGGAAACAAUAAACACAAAGGCACAAAAACUUGUUCCAAUUGUUUUGCUUUUGAACAAUGAAAGCCAUUUUUGUAGGAAUUAACCAGAGGGAGUUGUACAUCUGGAGAGCGGUGAACACAUCAUUUCUGUUUCAGAGAAAACUGCAAUUAUUGCCAAAAAAAUUCAUCUGCACUAUGAGCCAAAUUUGUCAAGCUGGUAGUGUCAUUGAGAGGAAUUUGCCACUAGAAACUUGUGUAGCAUGCUAUUUUCCUUAUUUAUUUCCAGUUGCAUCUUCCUUUUCUUUGAUAGAAUUUUUAUGGUUUAUGUUUAAAGAAGAGGUGCGGGAACGUGGUAGGUGAAAACUGGAGUUUUAUUGUCAUAGUGAUGACAUUAAAAUAUUUCUCUGGGUGCUGAAAUCAUAGCUCAGGGGUUUUGAGCCAGUACUGCUGUUUAAGAGGACCAACAAUGAGUUCCCAGCACCUAACUCAGAAAGGUCACAACUGCCUGUAACUGGCCUUCUUGGAUGUGCACUCACAUAUGCAAACCUUCACACUGGCACACAUAUCAUUUAAAAACACAGUGAACGGAAGUGAAAAUAAAAUUCCCUAAUUCUCAUAAAGGGCCUCCAGGCAGUUUUUACAAGCCAUAGGCUUUUUUCCUUGGGUAUUCUCUAUGUUCUUCUGAUACUCUUAGUCCUUUCAUAACAUAUGUAUAGUGAAUAUUACAGGGUUUUACAUGUGUAAAAUUUAUAUCUGAGAAAUGACACCUGAGAGGGAGAUGGAAAUGGAAAGACACCUAGAAUCCAGUUAAUAGAGAAGAAUGAACUUAUUAACAGUCAUGGCUAUUAUAUAUUAUACAUAAUUUUAGUUAAGCAUGAUGUUUCCUUAUGGUCUUUUCAAAUUUUUAAUGCUAUUUAUCCCUCUGCCUUCUAUCUGCCUGUGUUUUACCUAUCAUUUAUCCCUCUGCCUUCUAUCUGCCUGUGUUUUACCUAUCAUUUAUCCCUCUGCCUUCUAUCUGCCUGUGUUUUACCUAUCAUUUAUCCCUCUGCCUUCUAUCUGCCUGUGUUUUACCUAUCUUUUCCUUCUCCAGUUAAAGCCCACCCCUAAUUUUCCCAUUUCCCCUGUAGUAGGAACUGUGUUCUGCUAUGUUCAUUUCUAGACCUCUUUCUCCCCGAACUCCUGCCCGAGAUUCCUUUUAACUUUCUUGGUUUCUAUGACUCCUCCAUGUCACAAACUCACAUCUAAAUAUCUGGAACUCAGAUUCACAAAUAUGAGAAAUAGGGUGAUGUUUAUCUUUUGGAGUUUGGGUUACCUCACUCAGUAUAAUAUAUUUUAGUUCUAUAAUUUUAUUUCAUUUUUCCAUAUAACUGAAAAAACGUUCUAUUGAAGACACAAACUUGUAAUGUUACUAUUUCUGGCCCAGGAGUUUCUGCCAUCCUUCUCUGCCCCAAAGAAGCACAUGGAUGCUAUAGUAAUUAUGGAACUCUUGGCCAUGUAGGCUGUGGUUUCUUACAGACUUCAAGCUCUAUUAUAGAGAUAUAGUCCUGAAAAUAACUUGGUAUUGGCACAAAAACAGACUGGUAGACCAAUGGAAUUGAACUGAAGAACCUGAUAUCAACCUACACGACUUUGAACACUUGGUCUUUGACAAAGAAGCUAAUUAUACAAUGGAAAAAAGAAAGCAUCUUCAACAAAUGGUGCUGGCAUAACUGGAUGAUGACAUGUAAAAAACACCAUGCACAAACUUAAGUCCAAAUGGAUCAAAGACCUCAACAUCAAUCCAGCCACACUGCACCUCUUAGAGGAGAAAGUGAGAAGUACCCUUGAACUAAUUGGUACAGGAGGCCACUUCCUCCAUUAUAAAAUGUCUUUACAGACCUAGUCAUUAACAUUUUUUCUUUCCUCAAGAAAGGAUAAUUUACUGUCUACCCACUUAAAGAAUAUUAGGCUCCUGUAUACCGACUUUGUUUUGUGUGAUUUCUCUUUGGAACACUUGAGUGCUUGGAGUCACAGCAAAUGGCACUCACUAAUAAAAGUCACAGAACUGCGUGGCUCCAGUUUCCCACCCCUGGCCUGAGCAAUGUGGAAAGGUGUGUCUGGGUAGAAGCUGGCUUCUCUCUACAGCUACCUCUGCUGUGCUGUCCUCUCGGAACAUGUGCUGUGAAGCUCAGUCUCUGCAGUGCACAAGCAAAUCCAAGCAAGGCCCUGGUCCCCUGAAAUCUGACCUCUCAGACGCUAACAGUGUAUGGAACAAUACUGAAGCUAAGAACAGGGUUUCUCCUUGAGCGUAUUUUCCUUCAGAUUAAAAUAGUUUUAAAAAGUUAAUGUGUCUUUUCUGAACAACAGCAACAAAAUGUUGUAUUUUAUGAAAUGUAGUGAUGGAAUUGUAUCUUUUUCUUUGUAAGCCAAAGUAGUCAGAAACACUGAUCUUUUUUUUUUUUUUUUACUUUAAGGAAGCUGUUUCAUUUUUCCAUUUCUUCUCUUUGUCUUUUUGGCCAAACGUGGCUUAUUUUAUUCCUCGCAUAUAAAUUAAAAUAUUUUAUCUCAAAAAUAUGAUAAUCAGAGAAAUAUUUUGACAUAAUCCAAUAAGUCAUGGAUUAUCCAAGUUAAAUCAUGAAAAUAUGGUGUAAUUCUUUUUUUUCAGACACCAGAAAGAUGGUGCUAUCAGAUUCUGUUGUUUUGAUUCAUCUGGGAAGAUCAUGUUCCCAAAAUCAACACUGUGAAUCUUCCUUAUGUCUGACUUCCUGUCAUGGAAUUUUACUAUGUCCUUUCAUAAUUGCAACAGUGUUACAUUGAGGGAAAAUCAUAUCUCUGCUUGCAUCUUUAAAACAUAUAUUGCAUUUAGGCAUUUACAUAAAAUAUUAUAUAUAUAUGAAUAUGAAAUAAUACCUCUGUAAAUAUAUGAAUAUAUAUAGAGAGAGAGAGAGAAAGAGAGAGAGAGAGAGGCUGUAAGUUUCAAAAGGGUGGGUACAUUGGAGGAUUUGGAGGGAUGAAAGGAAGGGAGAAAAGAUGUAACUGUAUUAUAAUCUAAGAAAAAUGUCUUUAAAACAUUACAUCUUGGUUACUCUA
This is a long non-coding RNA of Mesocricetus auratus (golden hamster), 3689 nucleotides long. RefSeq lists it as uncharacterized. The record is from RefSeq and is a predicted model, not a curated record. The transcript has 2 exons. NCBI's taxonomy places the organism in Eukaryota, Metazoa, Chordata, Mammalia, Rodentia, Cricetidae.